RNAcentral lists this ribosomal RNA (476 nucleotides) under uncultured Desulfobulbus sp. RNAcentral's name for it is "bacterial SSU rRNA". It matches the Rfam family "Bacterial small subunit ribosomal RNA", at positions 916 to 1381 of the family's 1533-position model. The record is from RNAcentral. Lineage: Bacteria; Pseudomonadati; Thermodesulfobacteriota; Desulfobulbia; Desulfobulbales; Desulfobulbaceae.
GACGGGGCCCGCACAAGCGGUGGAGUAUGUGGUUUAAUUCGAUGCAACGCGAAGAACCUUACCUGGUCUUGACAUCCCGGAGACCCUUAGGAAACUAGGGGGUGCUUCCAUCUGGAAGAAUCUGGAGACAGGUGCUGCAUGGCUGUCGUCAGCUCGUGUCGUGAGAUGUUGGGUUAAGUCCCCGCAACGAGCGCAACCCUUGCCUUUAGUUGCCAGCAGUUCGGCUGGGCACUCUAAAGGGACUGCCGGUGUUAAACCGGAGGAAGGUGGGGAUGACGUCAAGUCCUCAUGGCCUUUAUGACCAGGGCUACACACGUACUACAAUGGCCGAUACAAAGGGCAGCGACACUGCGAGGUGAAGCCAAUCCCGUAAAAUCGGUCUCAGUCCGGAUUGGAGUCUGCAACUCGACUCCAUGAAGUUGGAAUCGCUAGUAAUCGUGGAUCAGCAUGCCACGGUGAAUACGUUCCCGGGCCUU